CCAAAGUAGAUAUCCCCAGGAGGUAACUUUCCCUGGCUUUGUCCAAGUGGCACAGGGCAGCAUGGGGCUCCAUCCCAUGGUAUUCACAAUCACUUUCCAUGAUAGAGAAGCUGGGCCUGGAGACUGCACUGAAACAUUCCUACAACCUCUCAAGAGUCCUGUGGACAGGGAUGAGGAGACAAACUAGGUAGGAAACAGUU
Ictidomys tridecemlineatus (thirteen-lined ground squirrel) is the source of this 200-nucleotide small nucleolar RNA. Its record names the gene SNORA73. It matches the Rfam family "Small nucleolar RNA SNORA73 family". From Rfam's summary of the family: U17 (SNORA73A and SNORA73B) also known as E1 belongs to the H/ACA class of small nucleolar RNAs (snoRNAs). Vertebrate U17 is intron-encoded and ranges in length from 200-230 nucleotides, longer than most snoRNAs. The record is from Ensembl. NCBI's taxonomy places the organism in Eukaryota, Metazoa, Chordata, Mammalia, Rodentia, Sciuridae.